AAAUGGCAACUCAUUGAAAUGGGCAACAGGCUCCGGGCACAGUUGAUAGAAGCAGGACUAGAGGAUUGAACUGCAGUAACCCAGCGCUGUCCAGCCCCUCCCUCAUGAUGACAUCACAGCCUCAGCAGAAAAUCAGCCCAUCACUGGCUGCGUCUACAGCCCAGCCUCCUCUCUCAUUGGACUGCACUUCACAGCCAAACUGUCAGCCCAUGUGGCGUGGCCAUCGAGGAUGUCAGACAUUUAAAUGAAAUAGACACAGGGACUCAGAAGAGCGAGAGUAAUUUCUAGGGCUUGGCCAAAGGGGGGGGGAUCACGAAACCCUUCAGUCUGCACCGGGAGCCGACAAAGAAUUAACGUUAGAGGAAUAAAGAAGUCGACUCUAUCCCAAAGGAUCUGCGUGUAACACCGCGUUAAACUGCACCCACAUCCAGGUAAGCGUACAUCUUAUUAAUCGUGCCAGAUCUGGAUCUGUAGUUUAAAAAGAUGUAGACUGGCGUAGUAAAGGUGAAAUUUCAGGCAUAACAAACAACAACGAGAAUUUUUUUUGUAACAAGCAGGGAAGAGAAAUAAUAACACAAACGAAACGAAUUGUUCUUGUGAGUCGUGUCUUUUCAGUGAAUCACGAAACAGCCUCAGCUUCGACUUUGCAUACAGUAUUUUAUUUUAACCCAAGAUAAGUAAAUUAAUUUAGUUUGUAAUGCGGUGCACGGGAUAAAGAUGUUGGGUAAUUACGUCAUGACGUAAGAUAAUUGCAGAAUCACUUUUGUGGACCUGUUCAAAAGAACCGAUUCGCAAAAUGAGUCCCAAAUUUUCCCAUCACUAAUUUCAACCAUAGACUGUAGAUUUCAACCAUAGACUGUAAAAAAAAUAUUCAACCGAAGAAUUCCUCCUCACUUCUGAAUAAAGGUAACCAGCACUCUUGACCUAAUGUGAGUAAACGUUUAGUUGGCGGAAUGGCGGCUGCAAUGGCAGCAUGGGAUGACAGCAUCUCACGCUAUUUCUGUGUGAUUACACUACGAGGCAUUUUUGCCUAAGAGAAAUAGCAUUAUGCUUUGAAUCUUUCUGUUUAUACACAGAAAAGGUAGCGAAUGGAUAUUAAACCUAACAAUAAUGUAAUACGCUGAGAUGUGGAAAAGUAUCAUGGCGAAUUGUGGAGUCACUGUGGAAUUUGUCACUCUGUGAAACCUCCUUGAGCAAAUUGGAGAUGCUUUUAGGGCAGUUUUUGUUAGCCUAUCCAUAUGAAUAUCAUGUAGUCUAGUUUCUAUUACAGUGUACAUCAUCAUUGACUUGUCAGGGUUUCAGCCUAGUCAUUUAUUAUUUAUAUAUAUAUAUAUAUAUAUAUAUAUAUAUAUAUAUAUAUAUAUAUGUAUAUAUAUGUAUAUAUGUAUAUAUAUAUAUGUAUAUA
RNAcentral lists this long non-coding RNA (1405 nucleotides) under Carassius auratus (goldfish). RNAcentral describes it as "lncRNA (ENSCARG00000069812.1)". The record is from RNAcentral. Lineage: Eukaryota; Metazoa; Chordata; Actinopteri; Cypriniformes; Cyprinidae.